This 132-nucleotide non-coding RNA is filed under the name Anaerolineaceae bacterium. RNAcentral's name for it is "6S RNA". It matches the Rfam family "6S / SsrS RNA". From Rfam's summary of the family: E. coli 6S RNA was the first non coding RNA to be sequenced, but its function was unknown until recently. It consists of 184 nucleotides that fold into an extended hairpin structure with a large single-stranded internal bulge. RNAcentral also lists the same sequence under 1 other name. Lineage: Bacteria; Bacillati; Chloroflexota; Anaerolineae; Anaerolineales; Anaerolineaceae. The record is from RNAcentral.
CAGAGCCUGCCAUGUGCGUGAUGUCGUUUAGCAUUUGAGCCAACAGGCUGACUUAGGGGUCUACCGUAUGGGAACGACCCACCUGCGAAAGCAGGUUCAAAUCGUGGCGACACACGGCAUGGCGGGUGUCCA